Molecule: ribosomal RNA, 433 nt
Filed under: uncultured bacterium
Lineage: Bacteria
Description: partial 16S ribosomal RNA
Rfam family: Bacterial small subunit ribosomal RNA
Source: RNAcentral
AACGAACGCUGGCGGCAUGCCUAACACAUGCAAGUCGAACGAAGGCUUCGGCCUUAGUGGCGCACGGGUGCGUAACGCGUGGGAAUCUGCCCUUUGGUUCGGAAUAACGGCUGGAAACGGCUGCUAAUACCGGAUGAUGACGAAAGUCCAAAGAUUUAUCGCCAGAGGAUGAGCCCGCGUUGGAUUAGGUAGUUGGUGGGGUAAAGGCCUACCAAGCCGACGAUCCAUAGCUGGUCUGAGAGGAUGAUCAGCCACACUGGGACUGAGACACGGCCCAGACUCCUACGGGAGGCAGCAGUGGGGAAUAUUGGACAAUGGGCGCAAGCCUGAUCCAGCAAUGCCGCGUGAGUGAUGAAGGCCCUAGGGUUGUAAAGCUCUUUUACCCGGGAAGAUAAUGACUGUACCGGGAGAAUAAGCCCCGGCUAACUCCGUG